Long non-coding RNA from Astatotilapia calliptera (eastern happy), 1400 nucleotides. The record is from Ensembl. Lineage: Eukaryota; Metazoa; Chordata; Actinopteri; Cichliformes; Cichlidae.
CAUUGCUAAAAAAAAAUAAAUCGUGGUUCUCUGCUGCUGUAUUUUUCAAUCUAGAUGCGGAGGCUGUAUCAGGAAGUACAUAUUGUACCUUGCCAUGGCUGUUAUACGUGGGAUUUUAGAGGACAUUUGGAAUAUUUAAGAUUGACAUGAAAAACGUCUUUGAGUCAACUGCUUGCUUCAUUCUGAUAUACUGUGUUUCUGCCAUUGUGCUUGUUAAUAUGUACAUAACUGCCCAAGACAGAAAGCCUUUCAGAGUUUAUGGGGGCUAAUUUUCAUAAUUGUCCAGUUUUCCGUUGGACUUCUGCAGUCCCCUACAGCGAAUAGUUGCUUAGGAACCACUUCCUUCCUCCCAUGGAGCCCCUUCGCUGGAGCUCUCUGCAUGGUCGCUACUUAUCCUUUUUUUUCUUUUUUUUAAACCCUGCAGGGUUUAGUGUUCUGUGUGCUGUUCACCUAGCCCUAUUUUAAUGUUUGUUUCCAGGAGAUUAUUAGCAUCACUUAGCUAACAGUUGUUUACUUUCAUUGCUGAAGAUCCAGAUGGGUCCACUGCAGGGGAUUAAGAUUAUAGGUAUUGAUAGCUUUGUGCUAUAAUCCAAUUAAAGCAUCACAUAUGUACAUUUCCUGCCUUCAUUAUCUCAUAGAGGCGUGUUUUGUUCAAACUAUAUGAUAGCAAACCUGCAACAGAUUGCUCACAUUCAUUAAAACUGUGCUCGUGCUUGUCAUGUUCGAUCUAAGAGAAAUCGCGUUAUCACAGUUAUUACUGAAUUGCCUGGAUACUAGUAAAAGAUCACAGUUUGCAAGACGCCGUGAAUGCCUAGGUGUCACAGCCCAACAGGUGUAACGGUGAUAUCACAGCAGAAGAUGCUUUCAAAGAUCAUUUAAACCACGCUCACUUGAGUGGCUCAGCGUUCCUUUUCGCACAUUGUGCCAGCAGUGUCACAUUGGUUUGUACUUGAAAAAGAUCCCGCUCACCAAAUUUCACACUUUAUAAUGUGUGAGAAUUUAAAUGGCUAAAAGUUGUUGCUCUUCUGCAUGUGCCUUUUAAAGCUGAUACCUUAGGAAGCUGUUGCCUUCUUGCCUUUCUGACUGUAUUGAAUUUUAGGGAUUUUUUUUCUUUUUCUGUUUGCUUACAGUCGGUUAUAAUAUUUAGUUAUAUGUCAGCAAAGUUGCUAUUUAUAUAGAAUAACUAACUUUUAAAAUGCUGUUCCCCUAUACUCACUGCUAAGAAAAAGAUCUGGAUUUUUCCAGUUUGAGUGACUCGCCAGUGCAUAGUGUUUGUAACUGUGGCCAGAAAUGCUGUUGAAAGUGAAUCCACAUGAACCACAGCAGUACACUCUCAGAACAGGAAAAAACCCUGUAAUAAGAAAGCAUUAGAUUAUAGUUAAUGACAAAUUAUACUAAAC